Molecule: long non-coding RNA, 202 nt
Filed under: Gossypium barbadense (sea-island cotton)
Lineage: Eukaryota; Viridiplantae; Streptophyta; Magnoliopsida; Malvales; Malvaceae
Description: long non-coding RNA (GBAR_LNC002636)
Source: RNAcentral
UUAUAUUGAUAAAUUUUAAUUGUUUUAAUUCUGUAGCUAACGUCAUACCGGAAUUAAAGUUUAUUGAAUUGGAAAUUGGUUGUAGUUGGAAAGCGAAUUAGAACCCUAUUAACUGUAUCGGGCUGAGUCGGAUAUAAAUGGCAUGCCGUAGGAUUGGAAGAGUUUAGAUAUUUCUUUGACUUCGAGUCGAUGAGGCACCGGG